AUUGAACGCUGGCGGCAUGCCUUACACAUGCAAGUCGAACGGCAGCACGGUUGCAUGCUCCUGUUGGGGAGUGCCGGACGGGGGCGUAUUAGAUCGGCACAUGUAUCGAAGUGGGGGAUAGCGCGGCGGAAGGCGGAUUAAUACUGCAUACGAUCUACGGCUGAAAGUGAGAGCCGUGGGUCUUCGGACCUUGCGCGAUGGAAGGUGGCGAUGUCGGAUUAGCUAGUUGGCGGGGUAAAGGCCCACCAAGGCGACGAUCUGUAGCUGGUCUGAGAGGAUGAUCAGCCACACUGGAACUGAGACACGGUCCAGACUCCUACGGGAGGCAGCAGUGGGGAAUUUUGGACAAUGGGCGAAAGCCUGAUCCAGCAAUGCCGCGUGGGUGAAGAAGGCCUUCGGGUUGUAAAGCACUUUUGUCCGGAAAGAAAACCUUGACGCUAAUACGGUCGUGGUAUGACGGUACCGGAAGAAUAAGCACCGGCUAACUACGUG
This 492-nucleotide ribosomal RNA is filed under the name uncultured bacterium. RNAcentral describes it as "partial 16S ribosomal RNA". It matches the Rfam family "Bacterial small subunit ribosomal RNA", at positions 30 to 507 of the family's 1533-position model. The record is from RNAcentral.